Molecule: long non-coding RNA, 746 nt
Organism: Acyrthosiphon pisum (pea aphid)
Lineage: Eukaryota; Metazoa; Arthropoda; Insecta; Hemiptera; Aphididae
Exons: 5
Source: RefSeq, a predicted model, not a curated record
UAAUUUAUUUGUUUUCAAAUUGUUUUUUUUAUCGCCAAUCAAAUAUUUUGUUUACUCUGUUUCUAUGACUUUUCUAAUAAGAUUGUUCAUGUAGAUAAUUAUUAUAAGUAGGUAUAGUCUCUAUCACGUGGGUAGUACUUUGUAUUGUUAAAGAGCAACAAGUUUAUUUCUCAUAUCGCCUCCUCAAAACGCAUUAUCUAUAUUGACAUUUGUGUAAAUGUGAUGAUGGCAUCGUUAAUAUUUCAGGAUUUUAGAACAUCGUAUCAAGCAGACUUUCCGUUUCAACUCAGCCUUUGGAAGACGUAUGAAAAGACAUCUCUACACACUACAUAAAACGUUUGUUCUGAGACAUUAAGAUCAAAUUCAAUCAAAUUUGUCUUCUUCACUUAAAUCAACGUAUACAACAGAUACCACACGCCAACUCCAUGUAUUGCAUUAUCAAAGAAGUAUUCAUCAAACUACAUAAAGAAGCUUGACUAGGAGAACCACUUGUUAGGGGCAUGUUAUCAUUAAAUAUUGAAAAAAAAUAGAUCUGAGUUCACUAGUCUUGUGAUACUGGAUUUAAUAAUCAUUAACCACGCUUCAACAAAGAAAAAGAUACAACUGCUAAAAUGGAGAAUUAUAGAUUAAAUGAAAUUGGCAAAAGUGGUUUUUUCCCCAAUUUAUCAAGAACUCUUUACAUUGGAAACUUAAAUGAAAAUAUUAAUGAAGCUACAUUAUAUAAAUAUUUUGGAGUAUUUGGAGAU